UGAGCAAUCUGCCCUUCUCUUCGGAAUAAGCGUUGGAAACGACGUCUAAUGCCGAAUACGACCUCCUUUCACAUGAUCGGAGGUGGAAAGCUCCGGCGGAGAAGGAUGAGCUCGCGGCCUAUCAGCUAGUUGGUGUGGGUAACGGCCCACCAAGGCGACGACGGGUAGCCGGCCUGAGAGGGUGACCGGCCACACUGGGACUGAGACACGGCCCAGACCUCCGUACGGGAGGCAGCAGG
RNAcentral lists this ribosomal RNA (239 nucleotides) under uncultured bacterium. RNAcentral describes it as "partial 16S ribosomal RNA". It matches the Rfam family "Bacterial small subunit ribosomal RNA", at positions 118 to 354 of the family's 1533-position model. The record is from RNAcentral.